Molecule: ribosomal RNA, 1052 nt
Filed under: Mycolicibacterium septicum
Lineage: Bacteria; Bacillati; Actinomycetota; Actinomycetes; Mycobacteriales; Mycobacteriaceae
Description: bacterial SSU rRNA
Rfam family: Bacterial small subunit ribosomal RNA
Source: RNAcentral
GUCGAACGGAAAGGCCCUUCGGGGUACUCGAGUGGCGAACGGGUGAGUAACACGUGGGUGAUCUGCCCUGCACUUUGGGAUAAGCCUGGGAAACUGGGUCUAAUACCGAAUAUGACCGCGCACUUCCUGGUGUGUGGUGGAAAGCUUUUGCGGUGUGGGAUGGGCCCGCGGCCUAUCAGCUUGUUGGUGGGGUAAUGGCCUACCAAGGCGACGACGGGUAGCCGGCCUGAGAGGGUGACCGGCCACACUGGGACUGAGAUACGGCCCAGACUCCUACGGGAGGCAGCAGUGGGGAAUAUUGCACAAUGGGCGCAAGCCUGAUGCAGCGACGCCGCGUGAGGGAUGACGGCCUUCGGGUUGUAAACCUCUUUCAAUAGGGACGAAGCGCAAGUGACGGUACCUAUAGAAGAAGGACCGGCCAACUACGUGCCAGCAGCCGCGGUAAUACGUAGGGUCCGAGCGUUGUCCGGAAUUACUGGGCGUAAAGAGCUCGUAGGUGGUUUGUCGCGUUGUUCGUGAAAACUCACAGCUUAACUGUGGGCGUGCGGGCGAUACGGGCAGACUAGAGUACUGCAGGGGAGACUGGAAUUCCUGGUGUAGCGGUGGAAUGCGCAGAUAUCAGGAGGAACACCGGUGGCGAAGGCGGGUCUCUGGGCAGUAACUGACGCUGAGGAGCGAAAGCGUGGGGAGCGAACAGGAUUAGAUACCCUGGUAGUCCACGCCGUAAACGGUGGGUACUAGGUGUGGGUUUCCUUCCUUGGGAUCCGUGCCGUAGCUAACGCAUUAAGUACCCCGCCUGGGGAGUACGGCCGCAAGGCUAAAACUCAAAGAAAUUGACGGGGGCCCGCACAAGCGGCGGAGCAUGUGGAUUAAUUCGAUGCAACGCGAAGAACCUUACCUGGGUUUGACAUGCACAGGACGCCAGUAGAGAUAUUGGUUCCCUUGUGGCCUGUGUGCAGGUGGUGCAUGGCUGUCGUCAGCUCGUGUCGUGAGAUGUUGGGUUAAGUCCCGCAACGAGCGCAACCCUUGUCUCAUGUUGCCAGCACGUAAUG